GUAUCCAGCUAUAAGAUAUGUUUUCGCUAACUAUCUUAUCAAAUAGAGAUGUGAAGAUUUUUUAAGUUUAGUUUGGUAUUGAGGCCUAUCUGAUCUUAUUAGAUUAAAUGGAGUUAGGGUAAAAAUGUAUAGGAAUAUAUUUUUGCGUUCUCUGGUGGGACCGUAGAAAAUAUAUUAUAAUCGACUUAUCGCAAUAUACGGAACGCAAUAUUAGAUAUAUGCAGAAAGCUAUCUAAUUGUAAUAUACUCGAUUUGAAAAAAAAUUUACUUCUUAGGCUUUACUUGAGAUUGCGGGGAGAUUGCAUUACGUACAGUGAGAAAGUACGAUGAAAAAAUAUCAUGUUUGUUUCUAUACAUAAUAUUGCAUUCCGAGUCGGUUAUGAUAUACUUUCUGCUGUCUUACCGGAGAACGCUGAAGCAUAUCUAUAUAUGUUUUUAUCCCAAACUUUAUUUUAUCUAAUAGCGUUAGAUAGGGCUCAAUACCAAACUAAGCCUUACUUGUUUAUAAAAUUUGGUAAUAAUUUCAAUUCUCGGCCAUCUAAACCUCAAUAUA
Molecule: long non-coding RNA, 553 nt
Filed under: Ananas comosus (pineapple)
Lineage: Eukaryota; Viridiplantae; Streptophyta; Magnoliopsida; Poales; Bromeliaceae
Description: long non-coding RNA (ACOM_LNC028513)
Source: RNAcentral